This 256-nucleotide ribosomal RNA is filed under the name uncultured bacterium. RNAcentral describes it as "partial 16S ribosomal RNA". It matches the Rfam family "Bacterial small subunit ribosomal RNA", at positions 524 to 776 of the family's 1533-position model. The record is from RNAcentral.
UACGUAGGGUGCGAGCGUUGUCCGGAUUUAUUGGGCGUAAAGAGCUCGUAGGCGGCUUGUCGCGUCGGAUGUGAAAGCCCGGGGCUUAACUCCGGGUCUGCAUUCGAUACGGGCAGGCUAGAGUGUGGUAGGGGAGAGUCGAAUUCCGUGGUGUAGCGGUGAAAUGCGCAGAUAUCAAGGAGGAACGACCGGUGGCGAAGGCGGAUCUCUGGGCCAUUACUGACGCUGAGGAGCGAAAGCGUGGGGAGCGAACAGG